RNAcentral lists this ribosomal RNA (253 nucleotides) under uncultured bacterium. RNAcentral's name for it is "partial 16S ribosomal RNA". It matches the Rfam family "Bacterial small subunit ribosomal RNA", at positions 524 to 776 of the family's 1533-position model. The record is from RNAcentral.
CACGGGGGGAGCAAGCGUUGUUCGGAAUCACUGGGCGUAAAGGGCGUGCAGGCGGUCAGGUAAGUGGGAUGUGAAAUGCCCCGGCUCACCCGGGGACCGGCAUCUCAUACUGCUUGGCUUGAGUACGGGAGAGGAUGUGGGAAUUCCUGGUGUAGCGGUGAAAUGCGUAGAUAUCAGGAGGAACACCGGUGGCGAAGGCGCACAUCUGGCCCGAUACUGACGCUGAGGAGCGAAAGCCAGGGGAGCAAACGGG